GAUGAACGCUGGCGGCGUGCCUAACACAUGCAAGUCGAGCGAAGCGCCUUACUUGAUUUCUUCGGGAUGAAAGUAUUGUGACUGAGCGGCGGACGGGUGAGUAACGCGUGGAUAACCUGCCUCAUACAGGGGGAUAACAGUUAGAAAUGACUGCUAAUACCGCAUAAGCCCACAGCUCCGCAUGGAGCAGGGGGAAAAGGAGUGAUCCGCUUUGAGAUGGCCUCGCGUCCGAUUAGCUAGUUGGUGAGGUAACGGCCCACCAAGGCGACGAUCGGUAGCCGGACUGAGAGGUUGAUCGGCCACAUUGGGACUGAGACACGGCCCAG
RNAcentral lists this ribosomal RNA (326 nucleotides) under uncultured bacterium. RNAcentral describes it as "bacterial SSU rRNA". It matches the Rfam family "Bacterial small subunit ribosomal RNA", at positions 28 to 334 of the family's 1533-position model. The record is from RNAcentral.